RNAcentral lists this transfer RNA (64 nucleotides) under Duplodicodrilus acinctus. RNAcentral describes it as "tRNA-Arg". The record is from RNAcentral. Lineage: Eukaryota; Metazoa; Annelida; Clitellata; Crassiclitellata; Megascolecidae.
AAGCAAUAGCAUUACUAAUGCACAUCGGUUUCGGCCCGGUAAGAGCGAUCAAACGCAUUGUUUU